ACGAGUUUGAUCAGUGGCGUCGACGGACGAACGCUGGCGGCAUGCCUAACACAUGCAAGUCGAACGGGAUACGAGAGCUUGCUUUUGUAUCUUAGUGGCGGACGGGCGAGUAACGCGUGAGCAACCUGCCCUUCAGUGGGGAAUAACGUCUGGAAACGACUGCUAAUACCGCAUAAGCGCACAGGAUCGCAUGAUCCGGUGCGAAAAACUCCGGUGGUAUGGGAUGGACCCGCGUCUGAUUAGCCAGUUGGCAGGGUAACGGCCUACCAAAGCGACGAUCAGUAGCCGACCUGAGAGGGUGACCGGCCACAUUGGGACUGAGACACGGCCCAAACUCCUACGGGAGGCAGCAGUGGGGAAUAUUGCACAAUGGGGGAAACCCUGAUGCAGCAACGCCGCGUGAAGGAUGACGGUUUUCGGAUUGUAAACUUCUUUUCUUAGUGACGAAGACAGUGACGGUAGCUAAGGAAUAAGCAUCGGCUAACUACGUG
RNAcentral lists this ribosomal RNA (491 nucleotides) under uncultured bacterium. Its description in RNAcentral is "bacterial SSU rRNA". It matches the Rfam family "Bacterial small subunit ribosomal RNA", at positions 1 to 507 of the family's 1533-position model. The record is from RNAcentral.